UUAGAUCGCAGUCUGCAACCCGACUGCGUGAAGUCGGAAUCGCUAGUAAUCGCGGAUCAGCAUGCUGCGGUGAAUACGUUCCCGGGCCUUGUACACACCGCCCGUCACACCAUGAGAGUCGGGAACACCCGAAGUCCGUAGCCUAACCGCAAGGGGGGCGCGGCCGAAGGUGGGUUCGAUAAUUGGGGUGAAGUCGUAACAAGGUAGC
RNAcentral lists this ribosomal RNA (208 nucleotides) under uncultured bacterium. RNAcentral describes it as "partial 16S ribosomal RNA". It matches the Rfam family "Bacterial small subunit ribosomal RNA", at positions 1293 to 1500 of the family's 1533-position model. The record is from RNAcentral.